Molecule: non-coding RNA, 417 nt
Organism: Arachis ipaensis
Lineage: Eukaryota; Viridiplantae; Streptophyta; Magnoliopsida; Fabales; Fabaceae
Source: RefSeq, a predicted model, not a curated record
UGCCGCCUCCGUCGGAACUGCCGCCUCCGUCGGAACUGCCGCCAUGGCCGCCGGAGCUCCGGGCUGAGUUUCUGCCACAUGAGACCCUGCUGCCGUCGCCGGGAAAGUAUGCCGUCACCGUUGCCGGAGUCGGGUCGCCGCAGCCGCUGGAGGUGGCUGUUGGGGCUACCGCCCAACCGGUUCAGAGGCCGUUGCUGUUCGGUUCAGCCGUUCUUUCUUAGUUUCAGAGCUAGAAUCCGAUUUGCUUGUGUCGUUUGGGGCUGUUUCUGCUUUUGAGAGAGCGGGCAGAGCCGAGAUUUUGAUUGCCGGUGAUUUCGGGUCGAGAUAAAAGGAGUUGGUUAACGAGUUGGGUUGUGGUUCCAAUGUUGUGAGGUAGGGGCGUUUUCCGAAAACUAUAGUUUAUUAUUGGAAUUAUUA